This is a long non-coding RNA of Octodon degus (degu), 96 nucleotides long. RefSeq lists it as uncharacterized. The transcript has 3 exons. The record is from RefSeq and is a predicted model, not a curated record. NCBI's taxonomy places the organism in Eukaryota, Metazoa, Chordata, Mammalia, Rodentia, Octodontidae.
AAAUGGAUAACAAAAAAAAUACAAACUGCGGUACAAGAUUUCAGGCUAAACACUGAGGGGAUUCGACUGACCUUGGCAGAUACAAAAGUUACAUUU